UACGUAGUUCCCGAACGUUGCGCGAAAUUACUGGGCGUAAAGGGUCCGUAGGCGGUCUGGUAAGUGGAAGGUGAAAGCCUGGGGCUCAACUCCAGAAUUGCCUUCCAAACUGCCGGACUUGAGGCAGGGAGAGGUCGGCGGAAUUCCCGGUGUAGUGGUGAAAUGCGUAGAUAUCGGGAGGAACACCAGUGGCGAAGGCGGCCGACUGGAACUGUCCUGACGCUGAGGGACGAAAGCCAGGGGAGCGAACCGGAUUAGAAACCCCAGUAGUCC
RNAcentral lists this ribosomal RNA (273 nucleotides) under uncultured bacterium. RNAcentral describes it as "partial 16S ribosomal RNA". It matches the Rfam family "Bacterial small subunit ribosomal RNA", at positions 524 to 796 of the family's 1533-position model. The record is from RNAcentral.